This 497-nucleotide ribosomal RNA is filed under the name Callia xanthomera. RNAcentral describes it as "partial large subunit ribosomal RNA". It matches the Rfam family "Bacterial large subunit ribosomal RNA", at positions 1819 to 2603 of the family's 2925-position model. Lineage: Eukaryota; Metazoa; Arthropoda; Insecta; Coleoptera; Cerambycidae. The record is from RNAcentral.
GUCUUUUUGGGAUAAUAAAAAGUCUGGCCUGCCCACUGAGUUUUGAAGGGCUGCGGUAUUUUGACCGUACUAAGGUAGCAUAAUCAUUAGUUUUUUAAUUGAAAGCUGGAAUGAAUGGUUGGAUGAAAAAAUAACUGUCUCAAAUUUAUUUUAAUGAAUUUUAUUUUUAAGUAAAAAAGCUUAAAUAAUUUUAAAAGACGAGAAGACCCUAUAGAGUUUAAUAUAGAUUGUUUAUUAUUAGAAUUAAUUAUAAUAAGUAUAUUUGAUUGGGGUGAUUGAAAAAUUAAGAAAACUUUUUUUUAUUAAUAACAUAGAUUUAUGAAAGUAUGAUCCAUUAUUUAUGAUUAAAAGAUUAAAUUACCUUAGGGAUAACAGCGUAAUUUUUUUAGAGAGUUCAAAUCGAUAAAAAAGAUUGCGACCUCGAUGUUGGAUUAAAAUAAAUUUUUGGUGUAGAAGCUAAAAAAUUAGGUCUGUUCGACCUUUGAAUUUUUACAUGA